Molecule: non-coding RNA, 428 nt
Organism: Engraulis encrasicolus (European anchovy)
Lineage: Eukaryota; Metazoa; Chordata; Actinopteri; Clupeiformes; Engraulidae
Source: the annotation of a RefSeq genome assembly
UGACUGUGUUUGUCAUCAUUGAGGAGAAAUAAUCACACAACAUGACUCCCAUCUUCAUGGUCUUCUGGAUAUUUACAUCCUCUUUUACAGAGUCAUAUGGACAGGUCACUGUGACUCAGACUCCUGCAGUGAAAGCUGUUCAACAGGGAGGAUCAGUCACUCUGAACUGUAGAACCAGCAGGGAUGUAGAGGAUGCCGGGAAUAGGUACCGUAGAUUAGCCUGGUACCAACAGAAACCUGGAGCAGCUCCUAAACUCCUCAUCUAUUACGGCAGCACACUCCAGUCUGGGACUCCAUCCAGAUUCAGUGGCAGUGGAACUCACAGUGACUUCACUCUGACCAUCAGUGAUGUCCAGGCUGAGGAUGCAGGAGUUUACUACUGUCAGAGUGGACACUAUCCCUACAGUAAAUGGGUGUUCACACAGUGA